Molecule: long non-coding RNA, 278 nt
Filed under: Mytilus galloprovincialis (Mediterranean mussel)
Lineage: Eukaryota; Metazoa; Mollusca; Bivalvia; Mytilida; Mytilidae
Source: RNAcentral
GCUUUCGUUGUACGUAGAAUAAAUAGUUUUGGUAACAACAACACUCGACAGAGAAAAAAAAAAUCGGCGAAGAACUUUUGAGCGGUUAUUGAAGAAAAGGAAACAAAUCACAAAGAAAUUAAUCUCGCAAGCUUUUUCAUUUUACGAUUCUUAGCUUAACAUAAAGAACAGACGACUUUCUACCGGAUACAGUACGGUUUCUUGAUCAAGUCAUACAUAAUUUUGACACUGACUGGUUGACUGACACUGACAGUCAUAAUUUGUAUAUCAGGUUUGUC